UUGAAGUUGGAAUGUUUGAGAUGGGAGUAUCAAGUGUUCAUUCAUCACUGAACUAUUCUCGGGAAAUUCCUCGAACAUCAGGGUAGAAAGUACCAACCUUUAAUAGGUAGGUGGAACACAUGGAUGCAUAGAAUCUUCGGAUGAGCUUAAACCAUGUGAACCAUUUUCGUUGUAAAUACAGUUAUUCAAACGCUUAUGUAACUCGAUGAGGGUCAGUCUCCAACUUCA
Molecule: non-coding RNA, 228 nt
Organism: Entamoeba invadens IP1
Lineage: Eukaryota; Evosea; Mastigamoebida; Endamoebidae
Rfam family: RNase MRP
About the family: RNase MRP is an enzymatically active ribonucleoprotein with two distinct roles in eukaryotes. In mitochondria it plays a direct role in the initiation of mitochondrial DNA replication. In the nucleus it is involved in precursor rRNA processing, where it cleaves the internal transcribed spacer 1 between 18S and 5.8S rRNAs.
Source: Rfam